This 531-nucleotide ribosomal RNA is filed under the name Stramenaspis kelloggi. Its description in RNAcentral is "eukaryotic LSU rRNA". The record is from RNAcentral. Lineage: Eukaryota; Metazoa; Arthropoda; Insecta; Hemiptera; Diaspididae.
AUCUGGGCGGUGAAAUUCAAGAUGGCUGGCGGGCUUCGUGCUCGUCCGGUCGUCUGAUAUUUUCGCUGUCGAAUCAGACGUCGUGACCUGUUCGUUGUCGGCGCCUGUUCGGAGGACCCGUGAACGAGUUCGUUGUGGGUGCGUUUCGGCGUGCCACACGGUGAAGUCGCGGGAGUCCGGCUGACGAUGGACAGUAAGCAACGGUGUCCGAUGCCAUGUCUCGCACUUGGUGUCGGGGCCGGUCAGCGACGAUUUCUUCGGGCCUCUUUCCGACCCGUCUUGAAACACGGACCAAGGAGUCUAACAUGCGCGCGAGUCGCGGGGUAUCGAGCGUACCACGGUACGCUCGUUAUAUCACGAAACUCGUAUAUUGAAGGCGAAAUGAAAGUGAAUGGGGAAGAUGGUGUUCCGAGUUGACGAAUCGUGAUCGAGUAUCGCGACCGGACGCCCGCAUUCCCGGGGCGUCUUAAUGGCUCGUCACGGACGCAGACGAUCGCCCUUCGGAGUGGCCGUCGGUUUGUGACGAACCGA